This 77-nucleotide transfer RNA is filed under the name Microlunatus elymi. RNAcentral describes it as "Microlunatus sp. KUDC0627 tRNA-Leu". It matches the Rfam family "tRNA". From Rfam's summary of the family: Transfer RNA (tRNA) molecules are approximately 80 nucleotides in length. Their secondary structure includes four short double-helical elements and three loops (D, anti-codon, and T loops). Further hydrogen bonds mediate the characteristic L-shaped molecular structure. tRNAs have two regions of fundamental functional importance: the anti-codon, which is responsible for specific mRNA codon recognition, and the 3' end, to which the tRNAs corresponding amino acid is attached (by aminoacyl-tRNA synthetases). tRNAs cope with the degeneracy of the genetic code in two manners: having more than one tRNA (with a specific anti-codon) for a particular amino acid; and 'wobble' base-pairing, i.e. permitting non-standard base-pairing at the 3rd anti-codon position. Lineage: Bacteria; Bacillati; Actinomycetota; Actinomycetes; Propionibacteriales; Propionibacteriaceae. The record is from RNAcentral.
GCUCCCGUAGCCCAACCGGCAGAGGCAGGCGGCUUAAACCCGCCGCAGUAUGGGUUCGAAUCCCAUCGGGGGCACCC